This 864-nucleotide long non-coding RNA is filed under the name Helianthus annuus (common sunflower). The record is from RNAcentral. Lineage: Eukaryota; Viridiplantae; Streptophyta; Magnoliopsida; Asterales; Asteraceae.
AUGGAGCUUCUUGCUAGUUUUGGUGGUAUAAAAUUUAUUUGCCGUUCAUCAAAAAAAAAAAAAAAAAAAAAAAAACGGAUUCAUCUUAAAGAUUGGGGUGUUGGUGAAUGAGGUUUGAUGCCACUUUCUUUGAUCAACACUCCUUUCAAAAGAUUUUUAGUUCAAUAUGUGGUAUCUGAUCGAUGAGACUUGUAACUAAUGAACAACCCGCCACCCGGAUUGAUGGGUUCAUUCAAGGAUCGAUCAAAUAUUAGACAUCGAGAUAACUACAUAAUGAUAAAAGGGUAAGAAACUGCCAUUGACAAGCUCUAUUAACAAAAAAGGUGACAAAUUCAAACAGGAUAUCAACUUUCACAUUAUUUCAGAGACGAUUCUUCUUGGAAAUAAGUUGUUAACGAACCACCUCGCAUAGGCGCAGCUCUCAAAUGAUCUCGAUCACUGGGUGUGCAGCUGCAGUCAUUUGAAGUUUUGAGCUAUCACAUCUUUCAUGCUGAAACUCACAAGCCUUAAAACAUCUUUCAAAAACCAUUUACAUUGGUAACAAAAUCUUAAGUUUUCUUCAUAUGUGACAUCGUCCAAGGCAUCCCGAUAAAUUUCAAGAUACUCUUUAUCAAUAAAAGCAUUUCGAUAUUCAUGCGUGGAAAUGUUGAGAAAAUUACAUAACAAUAGCAUGUGGUUCAAUUGAAGGGUUGUGCCGGUUUGGGUGGUUCAUGUGCUUGGUUCCAUGGAACACAACGAUUUGGAUAUGUCACACCUAUUGAGCGUCGUCAAAAGGCGAUGGUUCAAAGGGUAGUGAUAUUUCGGUUGAUGGUUACAGACGAACCAUAGUGACUAUUUGAAUAUCAACUGUGUAUCUCUUGUACA